CACGUAGGCACCAAGCGUUGUCCGGAUUUAUUGGGCGUAAAGCGCGCGCAGGCGGUCCUUUAAGUCUGAUGUGAAAGCCCACGGCUCAACCGUGGAGGGUCAUUGGAAACUGGGGGACUUGAGUGCAGAAGAGGAGAGUGGAAUUCCCAGUGUAGUGGUGAAAUACGUAGAGAUUGGGAAGAACACCAGUGGCGAAGGCGGCUAUCUGGACGGUUUCUGACACUAAGACUCGAAAGCGUGGGGAGCAAACAGG
RNAcentral lists this ribosomal RNA (253 nucleotides) under uncultured bacterium. RNAcentral describes it as "partial 16S ribosomal RNA". It matches the Rfam family "Bacterial small subunit ribosomal RNA", at positions 524 to 776 of the family's 1533-position model. The record is from RNAcentral.